CAAUAAGCACUAAAACUGAUUUUUCACAGUUUUCUUCUUCUAUUUCAGAAGCAACACCGAAGACUAUUCUGGACCUGAUGGAUUUAGAUGGACUCAAUCUUUACCAUGUUAAGAGUCAUUUACAAGAAUUACUUGAGUUAGGGGAGAGUGUUGGAACACAAAGUCGGGGUCUCACCCAAGAACUUAUUUCAUUGCUACCUGUUUCAAAAUACAAGUGCAGCUUAUUCUCAAGGAA
Long non-coding RNA from Gossypium arboreum, 235 nucleotides. RefSeq lists it as uncharacterized. The record is from RefSeq and is a predicted model, not a curated record. Lineage: Eukaryota; Viridiplantae; Streptophyta; Magnoliopsida; Malvales; Malvaceae. The transcript is spliced from 3 exons.